Molecule: long non-coding RNA, 199 nt
Filed under: Elaeis guineensis (African oil palm)
Lineage: Eukaryota; Viridiplantae; Streptophyta; Magnoliopsida; Arecales; Arecaceae
Description: long non-coding RNA (EGUI_LNC009340)
Source: RNAcentral
AGUCUUAAGAACUUAGCUUCAUAAAUCAUAUAAAACUAUCCCUUAACUGCUAAAGUUAAUAGAUCCCAUUUAGGUACGCACCCUACUCCUACAAUGAACUUACUGUAGGCAACAUACACCGCAAAGAUCCAUAUGACUAAGGGACCAAGUAAAUGUACAGUCAAACUAUAGCAAUCUCACUAUGAAUAGUCGAGACACC